ACGAACAAUGGUAAAUUUAUACUUUUUUUACACAUUUUUGAUUUUUCGUGUAGAUAUUUAUUUUCACCGCGCGCCAUCUUUACAAAACAAGAAAUUACAAAUUGGAAUUUCUUAAAAUAUCCCGAAACUCGGAACUGACCUACUUUGGUGAGGUGGAUCAUCGCAACAACCAACAUCCCUUGAUCCUAUCCGGGGAUUUUGAUAUUGCCAACAGCGGAGAACUGGCACUGAACGGCCCUCCCGUGAGGGAUCUUUCUGUCCCGACCAUCCGGAUAAACAGCGGCACCAAUGAUUGCAGGUUUCCUCCGGAUUCCCAUCAACCCAUCCCCCGAGCGGGAUUCCCAUCAACAGGCCGAUGAAGGGAAAAGGCAUCUACAGCCAGCAUGCAAACGGAUUCCGAUUUAGCAAGACAGCCACGAACUUCGGCAUCACGCGUCACUUACAGCGGGUUGGUGUUAUGCUGGCUACCACAUCAACAGGAAAUCAUUCAUCCAACCAACUGGAUGGUGUUUCUUCCGGCAACACCUUAAAGGUGACGCAGAAAAGGUUGCUCUCACAUCUGUAACGGGGGAAACAGGAUUACCGGAUGGGGCCUCCAACGAGUACCAAGCGGAUUCUUCCUCCACCAAGUGUAUUCAAGAAAGAAUACAAAGACGCUCAUCGACAAUCUUUUUUCGGAUUUAUCACCGCAACCAUUGCAAACCAUUAAAGCGGGUCAGUUAUCGAGUAAGCUGGUUAACCACUUGUUUAUUAUUCGGUCGGUGGAUGAACCUGGUUGACACGAUGAAGAAUUGUGCGGAGUAAAAUGGUGGAGA
This is an RNA transcript of Uranotaenia lowii, 815 nucleotides long. RefSeq lists it as uncharacterized. The record is from RefSeq and is a predicted model, not a curated record. Lineage: Eukaryota; Metazoa; Arthropoda; Insecta; Diptera; Culicidae. The transcript is spliced from 4 exons.